RNAcentral lists this ribosomal RNA (626 nucleotides) under Statesia calcarea. RNAcentral's name for it is "eukaryotic LSU rRNA". It matches the Rfam family "Eukaryotic large subunit ribosomal RNA", at positions 43 to 643 of the family's 3401-position model. The record is from RNAcentral. Lineage: Eukaryota; Fungi; Basidiomycota; Agaricomycetes; Hysterangiales; Hysterangiaceae.
UCAAUAAGCGGAGGAAAAGAAACUAACAAGGAUUCCCCUAGUAACGGCGAGUGAAGCGGGAAGAGCUCAAAUUUGUAAUCUGACGGCCUCUGGUCGUCCGAGUUGUAGUCUGGAGAAGCGUUUUCCGUGCCGGACCGUGUACAAGUCCCUUGGAACGGGGCGUCGUAGAGGGUGAGAAUCCCGUCUCUGACACGGACUGCCGGUGCCAUGCGAUGCGCUCUCGAAGAGUCGAGUUGUUUGGGAAUGCAGCUCAAAAUGGGUGGUAAAUUCCAUCUAAAGCUAAAUAUUGGCGAAAGACCGAUAGCGAACAAGUACCGUGAGGGAAAGAUGAAAAGCACUUUGGAAAGAGAGUUAAACAGUACGUGAAAUUGUUGAAAGGGAAACGCUUCAAGUCAGUCGCGUCUUCCGAGACUCAGCCGGGCGUCGCAGCCCGGUGCACUUCUCGGUGUGAUGGGCCAGCAUCGAUUUCGACAGUCGGAGAAAGGCUUUGGGAACGUGGCACCCUUCGGGGUGUGUUAUAGCCCUCUGUCGUAUGCGACGGUCGGGAUCGAGGACCGCAGCGUGCCCUUCAACGGGCCGGGGUUCGCCCACGUAACGCGCUUAGGAUGCUGGCGUAAUGGCUUCAA